GGUCAUGAGUCCCAGCGACAAGCCCCGGCUUGCUGGGCGGCAACCCUCCUCGCGGUGGGGUGCCCCGGGUGAAGACACGGCCCUUCCGGUAUCGGUGGGGCAAGCGCGAUCC
Molecule: regulatory RNA element, 112 nt
Organism: Janibacter sp. HTCC2649
Lineage: Bacteria; Bacillati; Actinomycetota; Actinomycetes; Micrococcales; Intrasporangiaceae
Rfam family: SAM (S-adenosyl methionine) riboswitch aptamer
About the family: SAM-IV is a mRNA element that regulates gene expression via direct sensing of S-adenosylmethionine (SAM or AdoMet). SAM-IV riboswitches share conserved nucleotide positions with the previously described SAM-I riboswitches sequence analysis and molecular recognition experiments suggest that SAM-I and SAM-IV riboswitches share similar ligand binding sites, but have different scaffolds.
Source: Rfam